This 342-nucleotide ribosomal RNA is filed under the name uncultured Bacteroidales bacterium. RNAcentral describes it as "bacterial SSU rRNA". It matches the Rfam family "Bacterial small subunit ribosomal RNA", at positions 46 to 386 of the family's 1533-position model. The record is from RNAcentral. Lineage: Bacteria; Pseudomonadati; Bacteroidota; Bacteroidia; Bacteroidales.
GGCUUAACACAUGCAAGUCGAGGGGUAGCAGGGUAGCAAUACCGCUGACGACCGGCGCACGGGUGAGUAACACGUAUCCAACCUUCCCAUAACUCGGGGAUAGCCUUUCGAAAGAAAGAUUAAUACCCGAUAGUACUUAUAUAAGGCAUCUUAAAUAGGUUAAGGAUUUAUUGGUUAUGGAUGGGGAUGCGUUCCAUUAGAUAGUUGGUGAGGUAACGGCUCACCAAGUCUUCGAUGGAUAGGGGUUCUGAGAGGAAGGUCCCCCACAUUGGUACUGAGACACGGACCAAACUCCUACGGGAGGCAGCAGUGAGGAAUAUUGGUCAAUGGGCGAGAGCCUGA